UACGGGGGGGGCAAGCGUUGUUCGGAAUUACUGGGCGUAAAGGGCUCGUAGGCGGCCAACUAAGUCAUACGUGAAAUCCCUCGGCUUAACCGGGGAACUGCGUCUGAUACUGGAUGGCUUGAGAUUGGGAGAGGGAUGCGGAAUUCCAGGUGUAGCGGUGAAAUGCGUAGAUAUCUGGAGGAACACCGGUGGCGAAGGCGGCAUCCUGGACCAACACUGACGCUGAGGCGCGAAAGCGUGGGGAGCAAACAGG
Molecule: ribosomal RNA, 253 nt
Filed under: uncultured bacterium
Lineage: Bacteria
Description: partial 16S ribosomal RNA
Rfam family: Bacterial small subunit ribosomal RNA
Source: RNAcentral